Molecule: long non-coding RNA, 1074 nt
Organism: Actinia tenebrosa (Australian red waratah sea anemone)
Lineage: Eukaryota; Metazoa; Cnidaria; Anthozoa; Actiniaria; Actiniidae
Source: RefSeq, a predicted model, not a curated record
UUGUGUUUUAUACGAAAAAUACAGUGCCAAUAAUAUUAUGGAUGGGCUCCUGCUGGUUGUAGUAGUUUAGCUUUUUACACAAAUUCCUUCUGCCAUUUGUGUCUCACAACUGUUUAUCUUUAAGGUAACUGCCUACUUUAGGAAAAGGAUUUAAACUUCGAUUUUCCGAAUUGAAAUUCAAUGCUGAUUCCAAAUCUGAAGCUUGCGCACAUCAAGGGCUCAAAUCGAAUGUUCAAAAGUAGUCAGCCACCUUAAUACAGCCAUAGGCAACAUAACUGUAAACAGUGAGAGAAAAUCAUGUAAGAAUUCUUGACCAAUGUGUAAAAUAAUUAAGCUGAAGUUGCUGAUGAAAAUCUGGGCUAAUUCUGUGGCUUCUUGUCCACCAUCUUGAAUUUCUUAAAUCCAUGGGGAAUUGCUUUAUUUGUAAGUAUCCUUAAGUAAAUGUUUUAUGAUUAUUAAGCCUUAAUCAGCUUUUUCAACAAAUGAAAAAAAAUCAUGUUACUUGUUAUCUGGUUACUUGGUUUACUCAUUACUGCGUUGCUUGUUUAUAGUAACACCUGCUUGCCGACAGGUAUAUGGUUGGUUGGUCAUGUCAAAGUUAAAUUAAGGUAUUAUGUUACAGCUUACCAAAACCAUAUCUCCUACUGGUGCCCAGUUCAUGCACAGCAGAACUUCUCCAAUGAAAAUAGCUGUCUGUAAUGAAUACAAGCUGAAUUAUAUUGAAUAAUUAUUAGCCUGGGCUAAUGCAGACAAGGGUAUUUGACAUUGAGUUUAAAGUACGUUAUAAAACAUUCUGAGUUUGGGUAUGCUAUUCUGAAUAGCAAGUGAGCACUGACAAUGUGACCAGACGCUUACUCCACCCAUUGGGGGAGACCUCAGCCACAAUUCCUGAAUUCUACAUGAUAAUAUCAUCAGAAAACUGCCUCAAUGAGAGAACAAACAAACAACAAAACAACUCUACAUUUUGAUGGUGGAACUGAGAAUUGAACUGAACUGUACAUGUAGUACCACCCAUCUUUCAUUUCUUGAUGCUUAAGGCUGGAGAUGGAGAAAGAAAUAAAACUUACCCUUAAC